AAUCCCUUCCUUCUCUUCAUCUUUGCCAGGAAAUGCUUCUCGGAUCCACAUUUGAUUCUAGCUAUCACUAACCCAGUCUCGCAGAGUAAAAAGGAUCUACUAUGAUUAUUUUCCCUGCCCCAUACAAUACAGCUGACGUUUCAGUAGUUUCCCUACCCCCACCAAGGGGGAGUGACCAAGCAGCUAUGCGGUCCUUACCUGCCUUCUGGGUUCAACUGCAAUACUGUUUUCUUAAUGAAGAAACAACUAAAAAACAUGGUCCAAGCUGAUGAGGAGACUGCACAUCAACUACUAUAAAAUGACACCAUGUGGAAGAAGCCACAGAAGAGGAAUAACCUGACUCUGCGAUACUCUAAGCUACUUCACAUGCUUGGAGAGCCUGAGACUGGGAAAGUCAAUGAUGGCUGAAGGCUGUGUUCCUCCCAGUCCAGCACUGAGCUUGCAGCUGAGGUAUUUUCUUAACACUGCUGUGCAGAAUGGGCUGUAAUAUGCAGAAAAAUGUACACAGCACACGUUCCCACCUCCCAGUCUGUGGCAGCAAGCCGGAAGGCAGCUAACAUUAAUGCAAUGCUGCCAUACAGUAGAAGAGCCACUUCUGCAGGAGGAGGAAUCUACUUUCUGCACACUUAAAAAUCUAUCACCAAUUUAGCAGGCAAAACCAGCAAGAACUUCCCUUCAAGAAGGACUAAAAGAUAACAUCAUCAGAAGUGCUUUCUCAUAUCCAGGCUGAACUACAGAACACCAAUGAGCGUCCUCUGCGUAAGAACAUCAGACACUCCCAAAGCAAAAGAGACAUUCUCUUCUGCAGCAACCUGAAACAAAGGAAACAUUUAACCAGACCCAGACUUCUUGUUCAGUUACUUCCUCCAAGAAGCCGUUUCAUUUUUAGCAAAGUCUGUCUGAUGAAGUGAUGACACACCAGCCAGACUGCAGACUGACCUGCUGUGUGACCGGUGAGAGGAUUUGGAGGAGCAGCUCAUAGAUCUUGCAGAGCUGGUUCUGUGGCACAGGCCAGUGUCCCGCGUUGGGGGAGAGCUUACAUGAACAGCUGGGAGCUGCUGCUGCUUCAGAGCUUCUGUUCUGGCACCAGAGGCUGUGUUAAAUAUGAAACAGUUGAAAAGUAUUCACUAAAAACCACUUACAGCAGCCAUUUAACCAAUUAAAAAAUCCCACAAGAAUUGCAGCAGUGUGUAUUUGGCUUUGGUUUAAAAUGUAUAUUACAAAUGCAUGUAUUUUGGUUGGUUGUUAUACAAGUGGAAGAAAAAGGAGGAUUGUCUGUUGUUUUGUUAUCCUUAAUAACAAGUACUCCUUCAGAUAAGUCCUCUUUUCAAUCACUAACAAUGAUUUGAUUUCCUCUUCCGUGAGCCUGACAGUUGCUAUUCUGUAGUGGGAUUUCAGGGGAAUCACACCACAAGUAGAAGAUAGGAAAUUUAUUAUUAUGUUUUUAAAAAGUAAGUAUUCCCAGCCUAAAAUACUGAAAAUGAUGCAAUGUGUUCAUAUACCAGAUAAUAAAAAAUGUACUGUUACAUCU
Coturnix japonica (Japanese quail) is the source of this 1531-nucleotide non-coding RNA. The record is from RefSeq and is a predicted model, not a curated record. NCBI's taxonomy places the organism in Eukaryota, Metazoa, Chordata, Aves, Galliformes, Phasianidae.